GACUUGGAGGUUGUGGCUUCCGGAGCUAACGCGUUAAGUCGACCGCUGGGGAGUACGGCCGCAAGGUUAAACUCAAAUGAAUUGACGGGGGCCCGCACAAGCGGUGGGCAGUGGUUUAAUUCGAUGCAACGCGAAGAACUUACCUGGUCUUGACAUCCAGGUGCUGCAUGGCUGUCGUCAGCUCGUGUUGUGAAAUGUUGGGUUAAGUCCCGCAACGAGCGCAACCCUUAUCCUUUGUUGCAACUCAAAGGAGACUGCCAGUGAUAAACUGGAGGAAGGUGGGGAUGACGUCAAGUCAUCAUGGCCCUUACGACCAGGGCUACACACGUGCUACAAUGGCGCAUACAAAGAGAAGCGACCUCGCGAGAGCAAGCGGACCUCAUAAAGUGCGUCGUAGUCCGGAUUGGAGUCUGCAACUCGACUCCAUGAAGUCGGAAUCGCUAGUAAUCGUGGAUCAGAUGCCACGGUGAAUACGUUCCCGGGCCUUGUACACACCGCCCGUCACACCAUGGGAGUGGGUUGCAAAAGAAGUAGGUUACCACUUUGUGAUUCAUGACUGGGGUGAGUGUAACAAGGAACCGAGGG
Molecule: ribosomal RNA, 585 nt
Filed under: uncultured bacterium
Lineage: Bacteria
Description: bacterial SSU rRNA
Rfam family: Bacterial small subunit ribosomal RNA
Source: RNAcentral